Molecule: ribosomal RNA, 79 nt
Filed under: Polystachya pubescens
Lineage: Eukaryota; Viridiplantae; Streptophyta; Magnoliopsida; Asparagales; Orchidaceae
Also listed under: 4 other names
Description: partial 26S ribosomal RNA
Rfam family: Eukaryotic large subunit ribosomal RNA
Source: RNAcentral
GCGACCCCAGGAUGGGCGAGGCCACCCGCUGAGUUUAAGCAUAUCAAUAAGCGGAGGAGAAGAAACUUACGAGGAUUCC